AAAUUGAAGAGUUUGAUCAUGGCUCAGAUUGAACGCUGGCGGCAGGCCUAACACAUGCAAGUCGAACGGUAACAGGAAGCAGCUUGCUGCUUCGCUGACGAGUGGCGGACGGGUGAGUAAUGUCUGGGAAACUGCCUGAUGGAGGGGGAUAACUACUGGAAACGGUGGCUAAUACCGCAUAACGUCGCAAGACCAAAGAGGGGGACCUUCGGGCCUCUUGCCAUCAGAUGUGCCCAGAUGGGAUUAGCUAGUUGGUGAGGUAACGGCUCACCAAGG
This 276-nucleotide ribosomal RNA is filed under the name Salmonella enterica. RNAcentral describes it as "partial 16S ribosomal RNA". It matches the Rfam family "Bacterial small subunit ribosomal RNA", at positions 1 to 273 of the family's 1533-position model. RNAcentral also lists the same sequence under 4 other names. Lineage: Bacteria; Pseudomonadati; Pseudomonadota; Gammaproteobacteria; Enterobacterales; Enterobacteriaceae. The record is from RNAcentral.